Molecule: long non-coding RNA, 5071 nt
Organism: Anguilla rostrata (American eel)
Lineage: Eukaryota; Metazoa; Chordata; Actinopteri; Anguilliformes; Anguillidae
Exons: 2
Source: RefSeq, a predicted model, not a curated record
UGUUGCUAUGCUAAAGGAUGUCUGGAGAAAAAGAACAACUGGGUUUUCAAUACCAAAUAAGUUGAUAUUAAAUUAGAGAUGUCUGUGAAAUCGCUUCCACUUAGAUGCAACUUGAAUUCAGCCCAAAUGCCUCUUCUUAUUCAGGAAUGACUUUUUGUAGUCAACCAUUAUUCUACAAUUUGGAAGUCUCAGUUAUAUCUGUAAUCCACCAAAAUGCAUGAAUUCAGCUGCUGCACACAGCAGUUUUUGGAAGAGAGCCAAACAAAUUACAGGCAAACCGGCACAACUGGUUAUACGAAAAAGAGCACUGAAAGACUUCAGAACACAGCUAAUUAUAAAAUCUAAACACAAAGCAAGCUGUGCAUUACCAGGGGGGUCUGUCCAUAUCGCUCCAGUUCAAAUGGGCUGUGCGUGCUGUUGAUUUCAUGCACCUGUCCACCAUUAAAUUGGUUGAUUAGUGCUGUUCUAGAGUGCUGAGGUUACUUUGUUUUCGCCACCUCUGUAAUGCAUUUUCAGUAUGGCUUGUACACACCUUCCCCCCUGGGAACCUUUCCAGAUUCCGGAAAUCUGGAAAGGUUCCAUUUCAUUUUCCAGCUGUUGGCUGAAAAGAUACUUGCAGGAGCCUUUAGUCUGCCGGAGCCUUUAGUCUGCAAUGACUUCUUCGGGCCCCAUGGCAACAAAUAUGGCUUUGCCUGAGCAAGCCUAAACAAGACUGAGCACAUGUCACAGAACACUGACAUAUUGUGCAAACCCACCACCUCAUUUGAAUUUGAAUUUCAAAAGUAGAACAAACAAGGGGCAGGUCAUAGAUGUAAAGGCAGUACAAUAUAGCCUUUAAAAUCAACUUAUAGAGUGCGAUUGCUACCUUGCCUUCUCUGACACAACAACAUCAACUAUUGUUGGAAGCCCCUGUAAUGAUUUAAUUCAGAACCCUGUAACAAGAUUCCCCUAGUCUUUCCCUUUAUUGUAACGGUGUUUUUGUAAUGUGUAUUCAUGUUGUAGUAAGGGGCUUAUCAAUGUGCACUCCUAAUGUAGUGAGGCAUUCAUGAGUGUGCACUCAUGAUGUCGGAGGGGUUUACCAAUGUGCACUUGUGAUGUUGUCUGUGGUUUAUGUAUGCACACUCACAAGAUCAGUGAGCAGUGCAGAUGACCACCCUCUUUGAAAUGACCCCCCUCUUUUGUAGUGAAUUGUAUAUGUGGGGUCAGCACAAUCACUGUGGCGUUAUCACCAUCUUCUCUCAUGAUGUUCUCCACCACUUACCUUGAAUUUAUCCUGAUGUUACCUGGUCUGACCUACUUCUGUUCUUUUCCAUUGUAUGUUUCUGCUUCGUUAGCUGCCCUCUACCUUACUCAACUUGAGGAUUAUGUACAUUUGCAUGGGUCAUUUGAAUGUGUGUGCACAUGAUCAGAUGGUUUCUGAGUGAGCAGGUUUAUUUAUGUUUAUUCAGAUGAUAGAUUAUGAAGGGGACCUGCGCAUCAUUCUUGCACAUCCUUUUCCCGGUGGCUUCAGCACAACGUGGUCAUGGGGUUUUCAAAGGAAGAGAGAGAUGCUAAAAGUAACAGGCAGAGAUGAUACAAACCAAUCAGCAGAAGAACAGGCAUCAGAGAAGGUGUUCAAGAAUACAUUCUCCCUGGGCCUGUCUUUAUGCCCCAAAAUACACACACAUAAUAUGUCCUUGUAGUGUGUUAGGGCUGGCCUCACAAAAUUUAUGUGUCCCUGGAUACUAUCUCACUCUGCAGACACAGCACCAGUUGUUUAUCCAUUAGUGAUACUGUAAGUCUAGAGGAGCUAGUUCACCUUCACUGCAGGAAUAACAUGUACUCCAAUUAUACACAACUGAUGCAAAUGGCCAGAAACUAUGUAUAAAUAGAGUAAAGGUCAAUCAAAUUUUUUCUAAAUCAGUCGUAAUGAAAAAAUAACUAAUAAUUAUCUGUCCAUCCAUUAUCUAACCUGCUAAUGUCUGGUGAGGGGUUUUUUUUGGCAGGGGGUUUGAGGGAUGGAGCAUGCAGUGGGCGUGAGACAGGAAUACUCCCUGGCCAGGUCGCCAAACCAUCGCAGGGCACCAUUCACUCACGCUCAUACCUAAAGGUACCUGACACAGGAAGAACAUAUAAACUCCACUCAGAAAGGCCUAGGCUGGGAUUCGAACCAGGAAACAGUCAGUAUAGUUCCCCUGCUUAUAUAUGGUUAUUAUACUACCUUAAUUCCAGUUAUUUGGCAUUCUGUGUGAAACAUUUUUUGUAACAUUUUCUCUGGAGAGGCUCACAACAAAGUAACUGUUUACUCCGUUUAGUUUGGUAUUUAAGGGGAUAUGGUCAGAUGAGUCAUUGUUCACCAUAUUCUCAGGUGGGCAUGUGAGGCAUACACCAAAAGAACAAUACAGGCCUGAAUGCUUGAUUCCUACAGUUAGGGGGUUCGGUGGCUCUGUUAUGCUGUGGGGGGGGCAUUUUCCUGGCAUGGUUUGGGUCCACUUGUCCCCUUAAAGGGAAGGGUCACUGCAAAUCAAUACAAUGUCAUUCUGAGCGAUCACCUUUAUCCUAUGAUGAAACAUGUCUAUUCUGAUGGGAGGGGUCUUUUCCAGGCUGACAAUGCUCCCAUACACAGGGCAUGAGGGGUCACUGAAUGGCUUGAUUAGUAUAGAAAUUAUGUGAAUCAUAUGCUAUAGCCUUCACACUUACCAUGUCUCAACCCAACAACUUUUUUUUCUCAUCUCUGGCGUGCUUGUAGAAACUUUGUGGUGACAAUUUCACUCUGAUGGUAAGGUUCAAUAUGAGGUUUAGAUUCAACAGGCCUGGUUGCAAUUAAGCCAACUGUGUUCAGUCAGCUGAAUCUAAUUAUCAAUUAAAUUUGGUUAAUUGGUUGAUUGUGUAACUCACAUGGGAGAAAUGGGUGAUAACCUUUUUCAUUAAAUGAAUGAAAUAAUAAUUACAAAAAAUGUGUUAAAUGUUCACUCACAUGCUAUAAUCAAGGAAAUCAAGAAGGGGGCAAAUGCUUUUACACGGCACUGUAUAAGACAACUUUCAGUAUCUAGUCUUGAUUCUAGGCUUUUGAUAUCCUUUGUAGUCCAUUAUUGUCAUUUGUCAACAUGCAGACAAGAGUUGUGCUAAUUAAACUAAAGGAAGCCAUUGUGAGGCUGAAAAAUAAAAGUCCUUCACAGUGACAAAAUUGAUCCAAUGCUGUUUACAUAUUUACAUGCUUGAAGAUGCCAGUAUCACUGUAAAGAGUAGGCACAUCUCCAUUGUAGUUCAGUAGUUGGUGAAUCAUCCAAACGUUCUUUGAAUUCGAUUCAGUUCAUUGACAUCUGCAAAUACCAGGAAGGAAGACAAAUAUAUGGUUUGUAAAAAGGCUGCAAUUGAUAACAUAUUGUGAGUAUAAAUGGAAUUAUAUAGUUAAAAUAAGAAAGGCAAAAUUUUCUUUGGAAAGAGUCUGACAACAUUCAUGUUGCUUAACAACUACAUGGACACUAAAGUUCAAUAAGGUGGAGUCCCAGGAAUGUCCAGCUGCCUGAAGACCAUCAAGGAUGCAAAGUGGAGCCCGGGAGACCUGGAGGUCCUGUGGCUGGAUCAGAUUACUGUCUAUGGCAGAGUUUCCCAACCUUUUUCCUUCCGCGGCACACUUUCCAAAUUUACAGAAUCUCAUGGCACACCACGCCGACAGAAAAAAACCGCGAGCGACGUACUGACAUUGAGGUGACGUGCCAACAGUAGGCCUAAAUGUUCUUUUGGGGUUUUAAUUAAGCGAUAUGCAUUUUAAUGACAUUUAUUUUGGCUUUUGUGAAUGGGAUUUGUUCAUUUAAGUUUUUUUAAAUUCAUUUGAACAUAAUUUGUUUUAAAGGAUUUUUCACACGGCACACCGGUUGGGAAACGCUGGUCUAUGGAACCACAUCCCACACUCAAGAUCUCCCACAUUCUGGUGAGAGUCCAGAAUCUCCUCCUGGCUAACUCCAGUAACCUCAAGGUGUGCUUCACAAGUGGAGAUUUCACCACCACACGGCAGAAGAUUGGGGUAGGCAUCAUCCCAGGGUGUGUGUUCUCAAUCAAACCAUUCUGUGGCAAUUAAUCUCAUUGUUAAAUCUGCAUAGAUGUUCAGUAGAGGAGCAGUUCUGGCAAGCAACAUACAGCAGGCUCCAAUCAGAGAAUUUAUGGGUGAUCUGACAAUUACAGCAAAGUCAGUGCCAAGGCCAGAAGGAUUUUGGAAGAUCUGGUAGAGCUCAUCAACUGGGCCAAAAUGGAAUUUAAUCUUAUCCAGAGCGACUUUUACAUAGCAUUUACAUUGCAUCCAUUUAUUCUGCUGGACAUAUACUCAACCAAUGCAGAUUAAAUACCUUGCUCAAGCGUACAACGGCAGUGUCCUAUCCGGGGAUCGAACCUGUGAAGUCCAUUUCCUUCCCCAUUAUAUUACACUGCCGCUCCAUGCCAGGAAGGAGGAUAGAGGGGCGAUUGUGGAGCCACCAGCUCACAGAAGAGACAGGGAGACAAAUACCUGUCUGGUGUGUCAGCAGCAAUGACGCUCAUUGUAUUUUGCAUAUCAACUGAAUGAGUAUUUAUUUUAGAGCAUUUACGUGCCACCCUGUUAUUUACAUUGGAAACCAGUAAUUAUAAUAAACAAUAAAAAUACACUGGGCCCAGGUCAUUAGAGUGCAGAUGGCAAGAUGAUUAUCUAUUGAAUUUCUAGCAUGGAGGAAACAAUAUAAAACAAAAAACAAUGAACCAUUAUGCUAAUUGGCCUCAAUUAUUUCAUGCCAGUGCCAGAAAAUUCACCAUACUGUAUAGUCUUUAACUGGAGUGUAGCAAUACAGAACAGUCAAGCAUAAUCUGAAAGAGAAUGAUAUGGUAAAAAUGAAAUGUCACAACAUGUUGCCAUGACAAAUACAUUAUGAUCCAGAUUGUCAUGGUUUUGACGGGUUAGACCCAAGCGCAGAGUAAAAAGGAAACUCAAAAGGUAAAUAAAACAAAGACUUUACUAAUAACAAAAACAAAACAGGAACAAGCAAAAGGCCACAAGGAGCAACAAAAGAACUCAAAAAUACUAAACAGAAACACAAGCAUAGAAACUCAAAAAGUCAUAACA